Molecule: long non-coding RNA, 481 nt
Organism: Aegilops tauschii subsp. strangulata
Lineage: Eukaryota; Viridiplantae; Streptophyta; Magnoliopsida; Poales; Poaceae
Source: RefSeq, a predicted model, not a curated record
UAUAAACACCGAUAAACUAGAGGAGCUCUUGGCAACGAAGGAUCACACAAGAACCACACGAGGAAAAGGCAAAACACAAGUCACGCGCCUCUUCUCUUCAUGGCAUCUAUCAACCAGAGCAACACGAGGACCAUGGCUCUUGCUUUCCUGGUCCUUAUAAUGUUGUCUGGUUGUACACUGCCAUCCUGCCAUGCAGUUGUUUAUCAUCCCUAUUGCGUGGAAAUGCCUCGAGGAUGCUCUAUCCCUUAUUGCAUGGACGAAUGCAACAGGAUAGAGCGACGUCCGCAUUCCUGGUUUUGCAACAACAUUGGCCAGUGCUGUUGCUACACUCUAUAGUAUGGCCGGACAUAGCGGUCUUGGUUACUCGUGCGAUGUAAUCCAGAUGAAUAAGCUCAUUGCAUGUAGUGCGCUGGGCAAUGAGUCGCAAACAUAAUAAGAUGUUCCUUCAUAAUGUGAUUAGUGGCAUGUGCUGCCGACUUCA